Molecule: ribosomal RNA, 1477 nt
Filed under: bacterium YSS11
Lineage: Bacteria
Description: bacterial SSU rRNA
Rfam family: Bacterial small subunit ribosomal RNA
Source: RNAcentral
UGAACGCUGGCGGCAGGCCUAACACAUGCAAGUCGAGCGGAAACGAGUUAUCUGAACCUUCGGGGAACGAUAACGGCGUCGAGCGGCGGACGGGUGAGUAAUGCCUAGGAAAUUGCCCUGAUGUGGGGGAUAACCAUUGGAAACGAUGGCUAAUACCGCAUGAUGCCUACGGGCCAAAGAGGGGGACCUUCGGGCCUCUCGCGUCAGGAUAUGCCUAGGUGGGAUUAGCUAGUUGGUGAGGUAAGGGCUCACCAAGGCGACGAUCCCUAGCUGGUCUGAGAGGAUGAUCAGCCACACUGGAACUGAGACACGGUCCAGACUCCUACGGGAGGCAGCAGUGGGGAAUAUUGCACAAUGGGCGCAAGCCUGAUGCAGCCAUGCCGCGUGUGUGAAGAAGGCCUUCGGGUUGUAAAGCACUUUCAGUCGUGAGGAAGGUAGUGUAGUUAAUAGCUGCAUUAUUUGACGUUAGCGACAGAAGAAGCACCGGCUAACUCCGUGCCAGCAGCCGCGGUAAUACGGAGGGUGCGAGCGUUAAUCGGAAUUACUGGGCGUAAAGCGCAUGCAGGUGGUUUGUUAAGUCAGAUGUGAAAGCCCGGGGCUCAACCUCGGAAUAGCAUUUGAAACUGGCAGACUAGAGUACUGUAGAGGGGGGUAGAAUUUCAGGUGUAGCGGUGAAAUGCGUAGAGAUCUGAAGGAAUACCGGUGGCGAAGGCGGCCCCCUGGACAGAUACUGACACUCAGAUGCGAAAGCGUGGGGAGCAAACAGGAUUAGAUACCCUGGUAGUCCACGCCGUAAACGAUGUCUACUUGGAGGUUGUGGCCUUGAGCCGUGGCUUUCGGAGCUAACGCGUUAAGUAGACCGCCUGGGGAGUACGGUCGCAAGAUUAAAACUCAAAUGAAUUGACGGGGGCCCGCACAAGCGGUGGAGCAUGUGGUUUAAUUCGAUGCAACGCGAAGAACCUUACCUACUCUUGACAUCCAGAGAACUUUCCAGAGAUGGAUUGGUGCCUUCGGGAACUCUGAGACAGGUGCUGCAUGGCUGUCGUCAGCUCGUGUUGUGAAAUGUUGGGUUAAGUCCCGCAACGAGCGCAACCCUUAUCCUUGUUUGCCAGCGAGUAAUGUCGGGAACUCCAGGGAGACUGCCGGUGAUAAACCGGAGGAAGGUGGGGACGACGUCAAGUCAUCAUGGCCCUUACGAGUAGGGCUACACACGUGCUACAAUGGCGCAUACAGAGGGCGGCCAACUUGCGAAAGUGAGCGAAUCCCAAAAAGUGCGUCGUAGUCCGGAUUGGAGUCUGCAACUCGACUCCAUGAAGUCGGAAUCGCUAGUAAUCGUGGAUCAGAAUGCCACGGUGAAUACGUUCCCGGGCCUUGUACACACCGCCCGUCACACCAUGGGAGUGGGCUGCAAAAGAAGUAGGUAGUUUAACCUUCGGGGGGACGCUUACCACUUUGUGGUUCAUGACUGGGGUGAAGU